AAAGCAGGCCAGGCAGUCGCGGCUUUGUCGGUCACGGCCGGCGAAGGCGAGGAAAGUCCGGACUCCAUAGGGCAGGGUGAUGGCUAACGGCCAUCCGUGGCGACACGCGGAACAGGGCAACAGAAAGCAAACCGCCGAUGGCCUGGCGAAAGCCAGGAUCAGGUAAGGGUGAAACGGUGCGGUAAGAGCGCACCGCGGCUGCGGUAACGUAGCCGGCAUGGCAACCUCCACCCGGAGCAAUUCCAAGUAGGCAGGCGUGCAUCUUCGCGAUGCAGGACGGGGCCCCCGUUUCGUCUGCGGGUAGGAAGCUUGAGCGCGUCAGCAAUGGCGCGCCUAGAGGAAUGGCUGCCACGCGCGGUACGUCUUCGGGCGUGCGGCGUGCACAGAAUCCGGCUUAUCGGCAGGCUUUGCCG
This is a non-coding RNA of Paraburkholderia sp. SOS3, 413 nucleotides long. NCBI's taxonomy places the organism in Bacteria, Pseudomonadati, Pseudomonadota, Betaproteobacteria, Burkholderiales, Burkholderiaceae. The record is from Rfam.